GACGAACGCUGGCGGCGUGCUUAACACAUGCAAGUCGAACGGAAAGGCCCUGCUUUUGUGGGGUGCUCGAGUGGCGAACGGGUGAGUAACACGUGAGUAACCUGCCCUUGACUUUGGGAUAACUUCAGGAAACUGGGGCUAAUACCGGAUAGGAGCUCCUGCUGCAUGGUGGGGGUUGGAAAGUUUCGGCGGUUGGGGAUGGACUCGCGGCUUAUCAGCUUGUUGGUGGGGUAGUGGCUUACCAAGGCUUUGACGGGUAGCCGGCCUGAGAGGGUGAACGGCGACAUUGGGACUGAGAUACGGACCAGAGUGCUACGGGAGGCAGCAGUGGGGAAUAUUGCACAAUGGGCGGAAGCCUGAUGAAGAAACGCCGCGUGCGGGAUGACGGCCUUCGGGUUGUAAACCGCUUUAGCCUGAGACGAAGCGUGAGUGACGGUAAUGGGUAAAGAAGCACCGGCUAACUACGUG
This 468-nucleotide ribosomal RNA is filed under the name uncultured bacterium. RNAcentral's name for it is "partial 16S ribosomal RNA". It matches the Rfam family "Bacterial small subunit ribosomal RNA", at positions 28 to 507 of the family's 1533-position model. The record is from RNAcentral.